CGGACGGGUGAGUAACGCGUGAGCAACCUGCCUAGAAGAGGGGGAGUAACGACUGGAAACGGUCGCUAAUACCGCAUAACAUUCCACUGCCGCAUGGUGGAGGAAUCAAAGGAGCAAUCCGCUUUUAGAUGGGCUCGCGUCCGAUUAGCUAGUUGGUGGGGUAACGGCCUACCAAGGCGACGAUCGGUAGCCGAACUGAGAGGUUGAUCGGCCACAUUGGGACUGAGACACGGCCCAGACUCCUACGGGAGGCAGCAUG
This 259-nucleotide ribosomal RNA is filed under the name uncultured bacterium. RNAcentral describes it as "partial 16S ribosomal RNA". It matches the Rfam family "Bacterial small subunit ribosomal RNA", at positions 99 to 353 of the family's 1533-position model. The record is from RNAcentral.